CCUACGGGCGGCAGCAGUGGGGAAUAUUGGGCAAUGGGCGCAAGCCUGACCCAGCAACGCAGCGUGCAGGAAGAAGGCUUUCGGGUUGUAAACUUCUUUUCUCAGGGACGAAGCAAGUGACGGUACCUGAGGAAUAAGCUACGGCUAACUUCGUGCCAGCCGACGAGGUAAUACGUAGGUGGCAAGCGUUAUCCGGAUUUACUGGGUGGAAAGGGCGUGUAGGCGGGGACGCAAGUCUGAGGUGAAAACCACGGGCUCAACCUGUGACCUGCAUUUGAAACUGUGUUGCUUGAGUACUGGAGAGGCAGACGGAAUCCCUAGUGUAGCGGUGAAAUGCGUAGAUAUUAGGAGGAACACCAGUGGCGAAGGCGGUCUGCUGGACAGCAACUGACGCUGAGGCGCGAAAGCGUGGGGAGCAAACAGGAGUAGAUACCCCAGUAGUC
This 443-nucleotide ribosomal RNA is filed under the name uncultured bacterium. RNAcentral's name for it is "partial 16S ribosomal RNA". It matches the Rfam family "Bacterial small subunit ribosomal RNA", at positions 338 to 795 of the family's 1533-position model. The record is from RNAcentral.